RNAcentral lists this ribosomal RNA (253 nucleotides) under uncultured bacterium. RNAcentral describes it as "partial 16S ribosomal RNA". It matches the Rfam family "Bacterial small subunit ribosomal RNA", at positions 524 to 776 of the family's 1533-position model. The record is from RNAcentral.
UACGGAGGGGGCGAGCGUUAUUCGGAAUUAUUGGGCGUAAAGGGCGCGUAGGCGGCUUGACAGGUCAAAGGUGAAAUCCCUCGGCUCAACCGAGGAAUUGCGCCCAAAACUGCCGCACUAGAGGAAGACAGAGGUACGCGGAACUUAGGGUGGAGCGGUGAAAUGCGUUGAUAUCCUAAGGAACACCGGUGGCGAAAGCGGCGUACUGGGUCUUAUCUGACGCUGAGGCACGAAAGCUAGGGGAGCGAACGGG